RNAcentral lists this ribosomal RNA (1369 nucleotides) under uncultured bacterium. RNAcentral describes it as "bacterial SSU rRNA". It matches the Rfam family "Bacterial small subunit ribosomal RNA", at positions 28 to 1381 of the family's 1533-position model. The record is from RNAcentral.
GACGAACGCUGGCGGCGUGCCUAAUACAUGCAAGUAGAACGCUGAAGAGAGGAGCUUGCUCUUCUUGGAUGAGUUGCGAACGGGUGAGUAACGCGUAGGUAACCUGCCUUGUAGCGGGGGAUAACUAUUGGAAACGAUAGCUAAUACCGCAUAACAAUGGAUGACACAUGUCAUUUAUUUGAAAGGGGCAAUUGCUCCACUACAAGAUGGACCUGCGUUGUAUUAGCUAGUAGGUGAGGUAACGGCUCACCUAGGCGACGAUACAUAGCCGACCUGAGAGGGUGAUCGGCCACACUGGGACUGAGACACGGCCCAGACUCCUACGGGAGGCAGCAAUAGGGAAUCUUCGGCAAUGGGGGCAACCCUGACCGAGCAACGCCGCGUGAGUGAAGAAGGUUUUCGGAUCGUAAAGCUCUGUUGUAAGUCAAGAACGAGUGUGAGAGUGGAAAGUUCACACUGUGACGGUAGCUUACCAGAAAGGGACGGCUAACUACGUGCCAGCAGCCGCGGUAAUACGUAGGUCCCGAGCGUUGUCCGGAUUUAUUGGGCGUAAAGCGAGCGCAGGCGGUUUGAUAAGUCUGAAGUUAAAGGCUGUGGCUCAACCAUAGUUCGCUUUGGAAACUGUCAAACUUGAGUGCAGAAGGGGAGAGUGGAAUUCCAUGUGUAGCGGUGAAAUGCGUAGAUAUAUGGAGGAACACCGGUGGCGAAAGCGGCUCUCUGGUCUGUAACUGACGCUGAGGCUCGAAAGCGUGGGGAGCGAACAGGAUUAGAUACCCUGGUAGUCCACGCCGUAAACGAUGAGUGCUAGGUGUUGGAUCCUUUCCGGGAUUCAGUGCCGCAGCUAACGCAUUAAGCACUCCGCCUGGGGAGUACGACCGCAAGGUUGAAACUCAAAGGAAUUGACGGGGGCCCGCACAAGCGGUGGAGCAUGUGGUUUAAUUCGAAGCAACGCGAAGAACCUUACCAGGUCUUGACAUCCCGAUGCUAUUUCUAGAGAUAGAAAGUUACUUCGGUACAUCGGUGACAGGUGGUGCAUGGUUGUCGUCAGCUCGUGUCGUGAGAUGUUGGGUUAAGUCCCGCAACGAGCGCAACCCCUAUUGUUAGUUGCCAUCAUUCAGUUGGGCACUCUAGCGAGACUGCCGGUAAUAAACCGGAGGAAGGUGGGGAUGACGUCAAAUCAUCAUGCCCCUUAUGACCUGGGCUACACACGUGCUACAAUGGUUGGUACAACGAGUUGCGAGUCGGUGACGGCAAGCUAAUCUCUUAAAGCCAAUCUCAGUUCGGAUUGUAGGCUGCAACUCGCCUACAUGAAGUCGGAAUCGCUAGUAAUCGCGGAUCAGCACGCCGCGGUGAAUACGUUCCCGGGCCU